GUCCUCAGACAGCCUCUGGAAUAUUGCUUCAAUCAGCUGCCCUGUAUAAAUCCAAUAAUCUGACAGUGAAGGUGAAUAUUUAUAUGCAGAGCUCGCUAUCAAUGCUGAUGCCAUUGUAAGUCCUCGUUCUGUCUGCAGGCUGAAGAAAGGAGAGUGCAGGAGGGGUAUGAGAGAAGGAGCCCACCCAACUGAGCGCCUGUCUGUCUGCUGGAAAAAGGAUUGUAAUUUUCUUCCCAAAGCUGAAUGAUGGUCCGAGUGAUGUGCAUGGACUGAAAACACCACAGAGACUUUAGCAACAUCAGUGUCACACCCAGGAAUCUCAGGGUGGAAGGAUGCAGCUUCACUCAUCUUUGACUAUGGCAUAAUAUGGACUGCAUUAGCUUCCGAUAUUCUAUAUGUUCAGAAAGCAAUGUGCGUUCAGACAAAAAGAAAGAGGUGCAGUACUGGGUUUCUCAGAUAAACACUCUUCUCCGAUAUCAUAUCCAGUUUGUCUUGUUUCUAACUGACACAAAGAGAUUGAAAUAUUUCUGACCAUGUUCCAAUAUUUGCACUACACCUACUACACUGACCUUGUAAACUUAUGAACUUUCAAUAAUUCCCUGGCAGACUUCAGUCUAGCCCAGAUCCGUUUGUGGUCUGCAGUGCACACUCUACAACAAUUUGACUCAUAAUCUUUCUGUCUUUUCUUGUCUCAAUGCAUCUUUUUCAGUUUUCAUCUUGUACUCCACCUUGUAAUUGUCACUACCUCCAGGCGGGGGUUUGAACAAAGCAUUCCUAGUAAAGAACUACCGAGACAUAGUUGCUUUCUCACGCUCUCUUUUCUUUUCAUAUAGCUCUUUUCACACAGACUCAUUGACUGUUUGCCAUCUUAUGUUGCAUUCAACCAUGUGACGAGUCCAAGCUGCUGUUAAUCAGCGACUGUGUGACAGCCAGUGCUUGAAUGAGUAAAUGCUUCUUCACUGCAGAUGUGUUUCAGUACCUUUUAAAAGUUGAUGUCAUAUAGUGUUUUGUUUAUUGUAUUUGUUUUUGCAGUUAUCAUCUGACCACAUUUUGGAAAUAACAAACAGCAAUGGGUUGUGCCAUUUGCACACAGUUGAUUGAUAUGUGGAGUGUGUCUGGCUCACAAAGAGGCCAGAUAUCAAUGGACAUGUCUCAUUUGCCAGAAGUCACUCAGCAGGACUACCACAGACUCUCGGGCCUCCACUAUACUUCCUCUUUCUCUGAUGCGGAGGACUGUUGUGAUGACAUCACAAGCACAAGCUCCUCCCCCUCCCCGAACUAUCUCAGAAUAGACUGUUGAUACUUGUGGUUUCACACUUCUGCAGGUUACUCAAACCUUGUUCCAAUAAUUUUUGGCUCCAAAUUCUGUCACUUACAAUAUGACAGUGUGACACUGAAAGAUGCUUAGUCUGCCCAAAUUAAACUAAUGAGGUCCUUGUCUUGACUGUGUGGAAGAGAAUUGUGCUCUCUGCAUCCACAAUGUUCCCCAGUUCAGUUCCUGCUCAAUUUGAGCAACAAACCCAUUAUUGUCAGGGAAAAGCAAUGGGUCUAGCUGUUAUGCAUGCUGAAAUCGGACAUUAUUCAUUUAGAAUCACCUUUUCUUUUAUCAUUCUGGAUAAAAGAACACUGGUUUGGGAACUGGAAUGCAGAUUCUAUGAUGUAAAGAUCUUCAAAAAGAACAUUGUGAUAAAAUGAUGCUGUUGUUUUAAGCCUAAAAAAGUAUAUAUGUGGCUCCUCUGUUUUUCCUAUUGAUCUAUUUAUGUUUUUAAGAUCUGAUUAAACAGUACUGUUAAAGCCAGAGUUUAAUCUAAUCACAAGGGUUUAAUGAAGAAUUGCUUGCUGUGUUGCUGCACUUAAACAGAUAGUUCACCCAAAAAUGAAAUUACUGUUAUAAUUUAUUCAAGGUCAGGGUCCAAACCUGUACGUCUUUCUCUUUCUUCUGCAGAACAUAACUAACAGAAGAUAUUCUACAGAAUUGUAUGAAAAAAAGGAUAUGCCUUUUCACCUCUUGCUUUUAAAGGCUCGAGAGGGUAGUGGAACAGGGGCGUUUUGCAAGGGCUUGUGAUGAAAGUUUAGAUAGCUAGUGAACGUUUACAAAACAAACAUACAAAUCAGCUGAAAGAUAGCUUAGUGGAAUGCAAACAAGCUGUGAAUAGCCCCUUACAGAAUUCUGCACACAUAGAAAGCGUUUUUGUAUUUUACUGUGCUGCUUUACAUUGUUUUUUUCUUUUUCAGAGUUUUUUUUUAUGUAAACAUGGCUAGAACCCCAUUUGUUUGACCAUUGCCUGUGUGAGUGAUGGCCAUGUCAUAUUGAAAAAUAUAGCCUAUAGUGUGUCGAGACCAUUUUGUUUUCCAUAGCCUGUUUUCUUCCCAGUGUUUUCUUUUAACCUUCAGUUCCUGUAUGUGUUGAGGCUUUCAAAGCCAUUGCAACAGAUUUAAAUGACAUAUUUAACUAGGCUAUUAAGUAACACAUUGGUUUUGUAGAUUUUCUUAGUAUAUAAGAACUAAUUGCAAACAAUUUCAACUUGUUAACACGCUGUUCUGUAAAAUAAAUGUUACAUUUGCCUACUUUUGACUGGGGUCUCAAAGACCUCAGACUAAAAAAAAUAAAUACAUUUUAUGAUUUCUUCGAUAA
Long non-coding RNA from Carassius gibelio (silver crucian carp), 2635 nucleotides. RefSeq lists it as uncharacterized. The record is from RefSeq and is a predicted model, not a curated record. NCBI's taxonomy places the organism in Eukaryota, Metazoa, Chordata, Actinopteri, Cypriniformes, Cyprinidae. The transcript has 2 exons.